UACAGAGGGUGCGAGCGUUAAUCGGAAUUACUGGGCGUAAAGCGCACGUAGGCGGCUUGGUAUGUCGGGUGUGAAAUCCCCGGGCUCAACCUGGGAACUGCAUCUGUGACUGCAUAGCUAGAGUACGGUAGAGGGGGAUGGAAUUCCGCGUGUAGCAGUGAAAUGCGUAGAUAUGCGGAGGAACACCGAUGGCGAAGGCAAUCCCCUGGACCUGUACUGACGCUCAUGCACGAAAGCGUGGGGAGCAGACAGG
Molecule: ribosomal RNA, 253 nt
Filed under: uncultured bacterium
Lineage: Bacteria
Description: partial 16S ribosomal RNA
Rfam family: Bacterial small subunit ribosomal RNA
Source: RNAcentral